GAUGAGAGAAUUAUUUUGAGUCGCAAUAAAAGAACUCCAAGUAAAUGAUGUUAAGUACUGUUACGACAAACGCACAAACGGAAAUGAAAUGGUGAACACAAAAUAAACAAACCACAGGUAGAAAUAAAAGAAAACACAUAGAUUUACGUGAAAAAUUUUUUUUAAGAAAAAAACCACGGGCGAGGAAGAAGAGAACUUUACUAUCAAAACGAAAAAGAAAAUACAAUAUUCAGAUAGUACAACGAACCACGAUCUCACGCCUUUAGGGAAAAAACGAAAAGGAAAACUCUUAACGAGUUUCGAAUCCGAUCCGUACCGCAGGGGGCGGAGCCCCCUGCACCCCAUGACGAAUGUUAGUGGUGGGCUACGGGCUCAGGGUUGUUGGCCCGAGCCCUCCGUUACCGACUACAGACAUUUAUUUUUUCUUUACAAGUUUAUUCUCCAAUUUAGUCGCACCGCGAAACUGUCAGCGAGUCGAAAAGUCCGAAUUUGAAUCGAUUAUUAAUUUCGAGUCACAUCUAACAAGUACUGUAAUAGUAUCUUGUUGAAUGAGUUU
This 556-nucleotide long non-coding RNA is filed under the name Ananas comosus (pineapple). RNAcentral's name for it is "long non-coding RNA (ACOM_LNC009567)". Lineage: Eukaryota; Viridiplantae; Streptophyta; Magnoliopsida; Poales; Bromeliaceae. The record is from RNAcentral.